This 2165-nucleotide long non-coding RNA is filed under the name Pan troglodytes (chimpanzee). RNAcentral describes it as "long non-coding RNA NONPTRT003137". The record is from RNAcentral. Lineage: Eukaryota; Metazoa; Chordata; Mammalia; Primates; Hominidae.
CUCCCUUAGAAAAAAGCCUUCAUGCUGAGUCACCAGGAUUCUCACAGGCAUCAAGGCAUACUCCUGAGACCUCAUAUGGCAAACUGCGACCUGUCCGGGCAGCUCCCCCUCCACCUACACAGAAUCACCGAAGGCCAGCAGAGAAGAUUGAAGAUGUGGAAAUCACACUGGUGUGAUGAUGGGCUUGCCCAUCCAUUACUGCUACAAUCAAGGCCAGGCUUGGAGUUUGGCCAGUCUUGUUUUUUAGGCACCUUUGCAUGAUGAUGACUCUUGAACAGAGCAAAAAACAAGGAGGAUUAUGUGUGACUGGGUGGCCUGGUAGACUCCUCCCACGUUUUGAAUAUUUCGUGCCUUUUUUUUUUUGUUGUCAUUUUCUAUGUCAUUUCUCCUACCAUAGCACAAAUCCUAGCGGACCCUAGGAGCAAAGAGGGGGGCAGCCCUCAUGCCUAACAGUGGUCUGUUUUUAUAUGAGACUCAAGACCAGGCCUCAUUCCAGGGCACAGUCCCUAAAUUACUGAUCAUGUGCACUCGUACAGUAUAUUACUGUGACCACAAGGAUGUGGCAAAGAUUCUCAUCUUUCUUCAAGUGGCUUUUGCUCAUCUGAUUGAGAAUUAAUCAGAUCAUGUUGGCUACAUAAGGAAACAGAAGGAGGGAUUUCAGGAGAGGCUGGCUCCUCCCCAAGGUUAGUCCCCAGACUGAGAAAGUGAAACCUUAUUGGGAAAAAUUGGACUGCCCUGAAUUUAGCACCAAUUGCAUUAACGCACAUCUCUUCCACAACUAACAGACUUAAAAUAACAGUGUCCUUCGUAUUAAUAUCUGUGCCAUUCAUUUAGAAUUAGCAGAGCUAAUAUGGAGGGGCUGAACUAGUAGCCACAUCUUGUUCAUCACAUAGACUAAUAGAAAGGAGGCUGUGGCUAAAGCAGAAAUGGAACUUCCUGAUCUGAAAUUAGCCAAUAUAAUGUUCUUUUGUAUUUGGGUAUUUUUCAUCUUAAUUUUUACAGCAUAUACUCUUCUUACCAGUAUCCUUAGAAUCCAAAUGUCUAGAUAAGUUGAGGACACAUACCUGCAUUGUUGAGCUUCUCUACUGGGGACGCCCCGGCAUUAUUUUAUUCCCAAGCCAGCAGACCGGCCCAGACAGCCAGGCUGUGGCUGGUCCAGACCAACUGCUAUGGUGGAAAAUGCAGCUUCCAGGUCCCACUACCCUGACAUUUCCGUGGAAGGAAGAACCUGGUGGCUCGUGGAGGAAACCAGCUUUCUAUGAGAAAGGACUGAAGGAUUGCGCACCCUGCACAAGUACAGAUUGACCAGGAAAAGACAAGUGUCUUCUGUGUGUCACAGGGAAAGCCAGGAGUGGCCUUCUCUGCAGGCCAGCAAGCCUGCAGCAGCAGGUGCCCCCACGUCAGGUGCUGACUGUCCGCUGUCCGCUCCUGUAGAAGGUAGGGAGCACAAUACCUAGGGACUAAGGGAUGUUCGCCGGUUGUGGUUUGUUUUUUUUUUUUUUCCUUGGUUAAGAAAUCAAAUUUGCAGAAUUUAAUCUACAAGUUGUAUUAUGCUUUGAAAACUCCAUCCCUCCUAAGAAUCUUAAAAAACUUGAAAUGCUCGCCAAAUGUCCCCAUGGGAUUUUUGACCAAAAGUAAGGUGAUAACUGAAGAAAUUUUUAGUUCUUUGAUCACUUCAGUGACAAUACCCAUUGAUGAAUCUUCUCCAUGAUUUGGGGUUUUUUUCGUUGUUGUUUUUUACACUUCUUAACCUGUUGAUCUAUUUGAGGUCUUUUGUGUUUAUCAAACUUAUUCUUAAGUUUAAAAAAGAAAUUAAAAGGGUGGUUUUUUUAAGAUUUUAAAGUUUGCUAACAUAUUAAAAAUCUUCAAAUGCUUAUUAAAUAGAGCAGUUCUUGCCACCCAGUCUUGUAUUCUGUCUUUAGCUAGCCAAAUUGUCCUUGAAUUUGGGUUUUCCACAACCUCAAAGGGUUAUUUGAAAUCUUUUGUUGUAUUUUAAAAUAUUUUUUGGAAGAGCUGCUAAUUUUAUUUUAAAAAACAAAGUUGUGAAACAUGCCUCCUUUUUAAAAAAUAACCCCUCCAUCCAGGAUAUGGAAUCCAGCACCACAGUGCACAGGUCAGGGCUCGGAGGGAGCCUCUGUGCAGAUGUGCUUUCUUUACAGUGGCUG